Molecule: long non-coding RNA, 707 nt
Filed under: Coturnix japonica (Japanese quail)
Lineage: Eukaryota; Metazoa; Chordata; Aves; Galliformes; Phasianidae
Description: lncRNA (ENSCJPG00005000670.1)
Source: RNAcentral
GAAAGUAGCUUGAUGUUUUGCCUCAUGCUCAUUGAUUUUAAAGAUUUAGGUUUGUUCACUUUAUUUAUUUAUUUUUAGAUCCUCACAUAAAGUAGUCAGCUCUGGCUCCCUCAGCAACCUGUUCGCUUAAGUGAGACCUGUCAAGCAACAGCAUUUCACAGUGGGAGCCACAUUUGUGGAUGCAGGAGAAGGGAAGGAAGUUGCCAGCAAUGGAAAUUGACUUCAUCUACCUCUUCUGGUAAUUUAGGUUUCUGAAACAGAAAAGAGGCAAUUUGCUAUUCUACUGCUGAGGAUUUUAAAGAUUUAAUUGUAGGGAGCUGCAGACAGAACAGAACUAUGUCUUUGCCUUAUGAAAGCUACUGUAAUUUUCUCAUAAUUAAAAAGGAUCUCUGAAGAAACUGAGAUAAUAUAAUUUAUAACUAUACCCUCCUUUUCUCCAUUUGUGCCUUUUUGUUUUAGCAGAGUGCAUUCUGCAAGCAGAGGACAGAUAUUUCUCCUUGAAAUUCAGCAAUUUCCUUCAUCUCCCAGUUCAGAGAGGUCACUCAGCAAUGUGAGUGAAACUGUCCAAGAAAGUCCAUUUGAACAAACAGAAUUUUGAGCAGUAUUCAAGAUGUAAUCAUAAUAAUGGAUGCUGUGAAGACCAAGAAGACUAGCGGUGUUUCAGGUAUGUCUUGGGUGACUGCAGUUUCUUGGUCUUGUGUGCUUUC